GCCUACGGCCACACCACCCUGAAAACACCCGAUCUCGUCUGAUCUCGGAAGCUAAGCAGGGUCGGGCUCGGUUAGUACUUGUAUAGGAGACCUCCUGGGAAUCCCGGGUGCUGUAGGCU
Ribosomal RNA from Melopsittacus undulatus (budgerigar), 119 nucleotides. The record is from Ensembl. Lineage: Eukaryota; Metazoa; Chordata; Aves; Psittaciformes; Psittaculidae.